CCAGCCACCGCGGUCACACGAUUGACCCUAGCUAAUAGAGAUCGGCGUAGAGGGUGUUUAAGAUCUGACACAAUAAAGCUAAACUCCAUCUAAACUGUAAAACCCUAGCUGAUGUAAAAUAAACUACGAAAGUGGCUUUAAAGCUUCUGAACACACAAUAGCCAAGACCCAAACUGGGAUUAGACACCCCACUAUGCUUGGCCCUAAACCUCAGUAGUUAAACAACAAAACUACUCGCCAGAAUACUACGAGCAACGGCUUAAAACUCAAAGGACUUGACGGUGCUUUACACCCCCCUAGAGGAGCCUGUUCCAUAAUCGAUAAACCCCGAUCCACCCCACCCUCUCUUGCUCAGCCUAUAUACCGCCAUCUUCAGCAAACCCUGAUAAAGAUUACAAAGUGAGCGCAAACGCCUCCCCGCAAAAACGUUAGGUC
This 435-nucleotide ribosomal RNA is filed under the name Macaca silenus (liontail macaque). Its description in RNAcentral is "partial 12S ribosomal RNA". It matches the Rfam family "Bacterial small subunit ribosomal RNA", at positions 508 to 1033 of the family's 1533-position model. The record is from RNAcentral. Lineage: Eukaryota; Metazoa; Chordata; Mammalia; Primates; Cercopithecidae.